This 467-nucleotide ribosomal RNA is filed under the name Burkholderia sp. oral taxon D43. RNAcentral's name for it is "bacterial SSU rRNA". It matches the Rfam family "Bacterial small subunit ribosomal RNA", at positions 29 to 493 of the family's 1533-position model. The record is from RNAcentral. Lineage: Bacteria; Pseudomonadati; Pseudomonadota; Betaproteobacteria; Burkholderiales; Burkholderiaceae.
AUUGAACGCUGGCGGCAUGCCUUACACAUGCAAGUCGGACGGCAGCGCGGGAGCAAUCCUGGCGGCGAGUGGCGAACGGGUGAGUAAUACAUCGGAACAUGUCCAGUAGUGGGGGAUAGCCCGGCGAAAGCCGGAUUAAUACCGCAUACGAUCUAUGGAUGAAAGCGGGGGAUCGCAAGACCUCGCGCUAUUGGGGUGGCCGAUGGCGGAUUAGCUAGUUGGUGGGGUAAAGGCCUACCAAGGCGACGAUCCGUAGCUGGUCUGAGAGGACGACCAGCCACACUGGGACUGAGACACGGCCCAGACUCCUACGGGAGGCAGCAGUGGGGAAUUUUGGACAAUGGGGGCAACCCUGAUCCAGCAAUGCCGCGUGUGUGAAGAAGGCCUUCGGGUUGUAAAGCACUUUUGUCCGGGAAGAAAUCCCCUGCCCUAAUACGGCGGGGGGAUGACGUACCGGAAGAUAGCCC